CCUACGGGGGGCAGCAGUCGAGAAUAAUUCACAAUGGGGGAAACCCUGAUGGUGCAACGCCGCGUGGAGGAUGACGGUCUUCGGAUUGUAAACUCCUGUCAUCCGGGAGUUAGUACCGGAAGAGGAAGGGACGGCUAACUUCGUGCCAGCAGCCGCGGUAAUACGAAGGUCCCAAGCGUUGUUCGGAAUCACUGGGCGUAAAGGGUGCGUAGGCGGUUUGGUAAGUCAGAUGUGAAAUCCCGGGGCUCAACCCCGGAACUGCAUCCGAUACUGCCAGACUUGAGGACUGGAGAGGUGACUGGAUUCCGGUGUAGCAGUGAAAUGCGUAGAGAUCAGAGGAACACUCGUGCGUAAGCGAGUCACUGGACGUUCUGACGCUGAGGCACGAAGGCCAGGGUAGCGAAAGGGAUUAGAUACCCUUGUAGUC
Molecule: ribosomal RNA, 427 nt
Filed under: uncultured bacterium
Lineage: Bacteria
Description: partial 16S ribosomal RNA
Rfam family: Bacterial small subunit ribosomal RNA
Source: RNAcentral